Molecule: ribosomal RNA, 433 nt
Filed under: uncultured bacterium
Lineage: Bacteria
Description: partial 16S ribosomal RNA
Rfam family: Bacterial small subunit ribosomal RNA
Source: RNAcentral
AACGAACGCUGGCGGCAGGCCUAACACAUGCAAGUCGAACGAAGUCUUCGGACUUAGUGGCGCACGGGUGAGUAACACGUGGGAAUAUACCUUACGCUGGGGGAUAACAUCGGGAAACUGAUGCUAAUACCGCAUACGCCCUUCGGGGGAAAGAUUUAUCGGCGAAAGAUUAGCCCGCGUCCGAUUAGCUAGUUGGUGAGGUAAUGGCUCACCAAGGCUCCGAUCGGUAGCUGGUCUGAGAGGAUGACCGGCCACACUGGGACUGAGACACGGCCCAGACUCCUACGGGAGGCAGCAGUGGGGAAUAUUGGACAAUGGGCGCAAGCCUGAUCCAGCCAUGCCGCGUGAGUGAUGAAGGCCUUAGGGUUGUAAAGCUCUUUCACCCACGACGAUGAUGACGGUAGUGGGAGAAGAAGCCCCGGCUAACUUCGUG